GUACUUCCUGCGCGUGCGCCACGCACACACAGAGAGAGCGCUCACACUUCCUUGUCACGACAGCACCAGAAGCACACGCGUCAUGCAGACCGUCUUUCAACUCGCUGCCGUGCAUGGCAUGCUAUACACGGGCGGCAACGUUGUCUUUUCGCCCGACGGCACGCAGCUCUACUCCCCCGUGCACAACUACCUGUCGUCGAUCCAGCUCCAGCAGGCAGGCCACCUCUCGCUCAUGUGUAGCAACAGCUCCAUCAGCUGCUUCGACCUCUCCCCCGAUGGCGACCUUGCUUUUGUGGCCGGGCAGCGCGGUCUCGGCUUCUUCUACUCCAUCUCCGCCCGCGUCGUCCUCGACACGCUCUCCUUCCCCCCGAACUGCGCCACCCCGUGCGUGCGAUUCAGCCCGUGUGGCAAGUACGUCGCAGUGGCGUUGGAGUCCACGCUGCAGGUGUACACGGCGCCGGCCAAGCGUGUCGUGAGUUUCCACGGUUGUCACCGCAUCGAGCAGCUUCACGCCGUCCUUGCACGGCCCAUUACGAACCUCGACUGGACGGCAGAUAGCGAGCACAUCCUGGUGUGUGGCCAGGAUGCACGAAUGAAGAUCGUGCCGCGGCAAGGCAAGCUGCAGCAGAAAGGUAUGGCACUCCAGCAGAACUCGCUCGUCGGCCACCGCAGCGCCGUUCUUGGGGCCUGGUUCACGAACGAGGGCAGCAGCGAGGUGGUGAGUGUGGCGGCCGACAACGUGGUGGUGAUGUGGCACCGCGCGGCCGUUACACGUAGGGAGAUGCUGCAGGCGAUCGCAACUGCCAAGCUGGAGGCCCGAUUGGGCGAGCAGGAGGACAGCGACAACGCCGAGGGCGGUGGCGUCGAGGAUGACGACUCCCCGUCUCCGAAGAGCUUCCUCGAGCGCAAGCGGCUGGAGCAGCUGCGCCUCGACGGCGUGCGUGUUUCGGCCGCCGAUGACACGUACCUGCCCCCGAUUCUGCGCUAUGCCUUCGAGAUCAAGGACAAGUUCAUGCUAUCGCACAAGGGCAGCGUCAGCGUCACGGCGUUCCACAAGCCGCGUGGGCUUCUGGCGAUCGGGUACAGUAGCGGCACCUUCGCCAUUCACGCGUUGCCGGAGACGAAGGGCGGAGAGUUAGCCCUAGUACAUCUCCUCUCGAUAUCUGCUCAGGCGUUGACGGCGGCGGCCUUCGCGCCACGUGGAGACUGGGUCGCAUUCGGCAGUGCCCACCUCAAGCAGCUGCUCGUGUGGGACUGGAAAGCCGAGGCCUACGUGCUCAAGGAGCAGGCACACUACUACGACAUCGCCUGCGCUGCCAUCACGGCGGAUAGCACCAAUAUCAUCUCCGGCGGCGAGGAGGGCAAAGUGAAGGUGUGGAAGGUAGCAUCCGGGCAGUGCUUCGCAACCUUCACCGAGCACACAGGGCCCAUCAGCGGCAUCAGCACGAGUGCGAGCACGAACGCCUUCUUCACCAGCAGCCUGGACGGCACGGCGCGCGGCUACGACCUCAUGCGCUACCGCCAGUUUCGCGUCUUCAGCCCUCCAGAGCAGACGCAGCUUUCGUGCAUCGCCGUCGACCCGUCCGGUGAAGUACUGGCCGUCGGCAGCAGCCAAGUCAACAAGAUCUUUCUGUUCGCUGUGCAAACGGGGCGCAUUAUUGACGUCUUGCAAGGGCACGAGGCGCCCAUCGCGUGCGUGGCGUUCCACCCGUCCGGCACGACCCUCACCUCCGGCAGCAUGGACCACAACCUCAUCUUUUGGGACCUCUUCAACCAGAACGACAGCGGCGAGCGGCUCAAGGGUGACGGCGAGGUGCUGGGCAUCGGCACCGAGGUGCUGUGCGUCACGUACAGCAGCAGCGGGCGACGGCUCGCCGUGCUGACGGCGAAGCAGGAGAUUUCCGUGUACGAGACGACCAUCGCCAACGACCCGCAGCUGAUCAAGACGUUUCUCACGACCUUUGACGCGGCUGGCGGCUGGCGCAAGGAGGUGGGGCCGAACAGUGCCAACUACAACACUCACUUCACACGCAUCAGCUUCUCCCCUGAGGGCGAGAAGCUGAUCGCGGGCGGCGACUCCAAGUGGCUGGUGCUCUACCACGCGACACAGGGCUACGUGCUCAAGAAGUGGCCCAUCACGCACAACCUCGACGUGCAGGGUGCGGAGGAGCAGUAUCAAUGGCGCAACGCCAGCGAGGCAGGCUUUCUCGGAGACAUCGACGUGGAUGAGGACGACAUGCACCUGUCGCGGCGCAAGCUGCUGGAGAUGCCGGGUAGCCGCCACCGCCACUUCGCGACCGGCAAGCGCAAGACGGAGCUGACGGCGCGCGCGAUGGACGUGGCGUUCGCGGCUACGGGCUCCGAGUUCAUUGCCGCGACAACGGACGGCCUGCUGCUCUUCUCGACGCGUGUGGCGCGUCCGCGCUUUCAGCCGCUGCAGCUGAGCUUGCGCGUAACAACCGAAGAGGUGCGCCAGCAACUCUCGAACGGCCAGCCGGUGUUGGCGCUUAUCGGCGCCUUGAACCUUGGAGAUGCGACGCUUGGCGUGGAGUGCCUACGCCGGAUGCCGCGCAACUCGAUCCCGGUAGCUGUCGCGGCCGUCCCCUCGUCCCUCUUUCCACAGCUCAUGCAGUGGGUGAGCGAGGAGGUGGAGCACUGCCGUGGUCUCGAGCAUGCCCUGCUAUGGGCGCAGUCCCUCCUGCUCCACUCCAACGAGGCGUUCGGCGGGAUAGGGGCGCAGCAGACCGCGCGGGUGUUGCCAGCGCUCAAGACGCUUCAGCGCAGCCUCUUUCAUCACCGCCUGCUUACGGAGCUCUCCCGCGAAAACUACUUCUCCGUCAAGUACCUCGCCGACGCGGCGCGCAUGAACUCGUCCAAGCUGGAGCCGGUUGCAGAGGAUGCAACGGAGUAGCGUGCCUGAGAGGCGAAGUACGCAGCUGCCCCGCACGGCGCGGGAGAAAGAGAAGGGGAAAGGGGGCCGCAAGCCGUAUGCGGAGGUCCAUCCCUCCCACUCUCCGCGUGCGUGUGUCGCUGGGCGCGCACGCUGGACAUAAUACGCUAACAAGUAGUCGCAUAAUCUGUUGGAGCUCGUCCUUCACCAACCGCAUCUCGU
This 3112-nucleotide unclassified non-coding RNA is filed under the name Leishmania donovani. Its description in RNAcentral is "gene:LdHU3.18.1080(CDS-product:Periodic_tryptopha n_protein_2_homolog_putative)". Lineage: Eukaryota; Euglenozoa; Kinetoplastea; Trypanosomatida; Trypanosomatidae. The record is from RNAcentral.